Molecule: small nucleolar RNA, 132 nt
Filed under: Catagonus wagneri (Chacoan peccary)
Lineage: Eukaryota; Metazoa; Chordata; Mammalia; Artiodactyla; Tayassuidae
Description: Small nucleolar RNA SNORA70 (ENSCWAG00000001441.1)
Rfam family: Small nucleolar RNA SNORA70
About the family: snoRNA U70 seems to be exclusive to mammals and is a member of the H/ACA class of snoRNA which contain H (ANANNA) and ACA box motifs. H/ACA box snoRNAs are involved in the conversion of uridines to pseudouridines (5-ribosyluracil) a constituent of structural RNAs (transfer, ribosomal, small nuclear, and small nucleolar).
Source: Rfam by way of RNAcentral
AUGCCAAUUAAGCCGAACAUGCUCUUUUCCCUGUGGGGGCCCGGUAUGCAAGGGCUGCAAACAGCAGCCUCCUCCAUAGUGUAUGCAGCCUGUUGCCUGUAUAGGUUGCCCUAAUGGACCUUGGAGACAGCC